This 524-nucleotide ribosomal RNA is filed under the name uncultured bacterium. RNAcentral's name for it is "bacterial SSU rRNA". It matches the Rfam family "Bacterial small subunit ribosomal RNA", at positions 791 to 1314 of the family's 1533-position model. The record is from RNAcentral.
UAGUCCACGCCGUAAACGAUGGAUACUAGGUGUUUGGAGUAUUUAACCCUCUGAGUACCAAAGUUCACGCAUUAAGUAUCCCGCCUGGGGACUACGGUCGCAAGGCUAAAACUUAAAGGAAUUGACGGGGGCCCGCACAAGCGGUGGAGUAUGUGGUUUAAUUCGAAGCAACGCGCAGAACCUUACCUGGGUUUACCAUUCAACGCUACCUUCAGAGAUGAAGGGUUCUCCUCGGAGACGUUGGGAUAGGUGCUGCAUGGCUGUCGUCAGCUCGUGUCGUAGGAUGUUGGGUUAAGUCCCGCAACGAGCGCAACCCUUGUCUUUAGUUGCCAUCAUUUAGUUGGGCACUCUAGAGAAACUGCCGGUGACAAACCGGAGGAAGGUAAGGAUGACGUCAAGUCAGCAUGCCCCUUACGCUCUGGGCUACACACGUGCUACAAUGGUCGUGACAAAGAGUUGCUAGUCUGCGAAGGCAAGCCAAUCUCAUAAACGCGGCCUUAGUUCGGAUUGCAGGCUGAAACUCG